UGCCGGCUUUCCAUCAGCCGGGGUCACUGAAGAGGCACACCAUCAUUGCCGGAAGUGCGGUCGGGUUCCCCAACCAAUCCAUGGCAGACAAAGCGGAUUGAUGCUCUCAGGCAAGAGGGCGUUGAUCCAUCGCCCGCGUUAGAGCGUUCGU
Molecule: regulatory RNA element, 151 nt
Rfam family: speF leader
About the family: This family is a putative regulatory RNA structure that is found upstream of the speF gene encoding ornithine decarboxylase in Agrobacterium tumefaciens and other alpha-proteobacteria.
Source: Rfam